UGUGAUGUAGAUUUUAAUACCU
RNAcentral lists this microRNA (22 nucleotides) under Daphnia pulex (common water flea). Its description in RNAcentral is "Dpu-Mir-12603_5p (mature (guide))". RNAcentral also lists the same sequence under 1 other name. Lineage: Eukaryota; Metazoa; Arthropoda; Branchiopoda; Diplostraca; Daphniidae. The record is from RNAcentral.